RNAcentral lists this ribosomal RNA (694 nucleotides) under Dyadobacter fermentans. RNAcentral describes it as "bacterial SSU rRNA". It matches the Rfam family "Bacterial small subunit ribosomal RNA", at positions 8 to 712 of the family's 1533-position model. The record is from RNAcentral. Lineage: Bacteria; Pseudomonadati; Bacteroidota; Cytophagia; Cytophagales; Spirosomataceae.
AGAGUUUGAUCCUGGCUCAGGAUGAACGCUAGCGGCAGGCUUAAUACAUGCAAGGCGAAGGGGCAGCAAUGUCACUGUCGUACGGGUGCGUAACGCGUAUGCAACCUACCUAUCACUGGGGGAUAGCCCGGGGAAACCCGGAUUAAUACCGCAUAAAACAGGGGCACCGCAUGGUGAUAUUUGUUAAAGAUUUAUUGGUGAUAGAUGGGCAUGCGUUCGAUUAGCUAGUUGGCGGGGUAACGGCCCACCAAGGCGACGAUCGAUAGGGGAGCUGAGAGGUUGAUCCCCCACACGGGCACUGAGAUACGGGCCCGACUCCUACGGGAGGCAGCAGUAGGGAAUAUUGGGCAAUGGAUGCAAGUCUGACCCAGCCAUGCCGCGUGCCGGAUGAAGGCCCUCAGGGUUGUAAACGGCUUUUAUUCGGGAAGAAGAGCAGGGAUGCGUCCUUGUGUGACGGUACCGAAUGAAUAAGCACCGGCUAACUCCGUGCCAGCAGCCGCGGUAAUACGGAGGGUGCGAGCGUUGUCCGGAUUUAUUGGGUUUAAAGGGUGCGUAGGUGGCCUGUUAAGUCAGUGGUGAAAUACGGUUGCUCAACAAUCGAGGUGCCAUUGAUACUGACCGGCUUGAAAUAAUUGGAGGCUGCCGGAAUGGAUGGUGUAGCGGUGAAAUGCAUAGAUAUCAUCCAGAACACCGA